UCGUCUCCUUUCCGGUUAGUGGUGGAUAUUCCCCGUUCAAAUUUUCGUUUGACAACGUCUUCUGUUGCUCUAGCCCUCAGGGCUGAGCCAUUGAAGGUGCAUGAUGGGGUUCCUCCGAUGAUCACCAUUCCGGCCAAAUCUCCAGUGAUCAAGCAGGCGGAUAGUCUCAAAUUUCGUAAUGAGCGAGGGGCAUUCUUUGUCUGCCUGUGUUGGGCCUUUUCGGUGCCGCACCUGCAAAAAUACGGGUCAUGCGGCCCGUUUCUAUAG
Molecule: long non-coding RNA, 267 nt
Filed under: Oryza sativa Indica Group (long-grained rice)
Lineage: Eukaryota; Viridiplantae; Streptophyta; Magnoliopsida; Poales; Poaceae
Description: lncRNA OsIR64_11g0024290
Source: RNAcentral